Molecule: long non-coding RNA, 1953 nt
Filed under: Homo sapiens (human)
Lineage: Eukaryota; Metazoa; Chordata; Mammalia; Primates; Hominidae
Description: non-protein coding lnc-TLL1-3:1
Source: RNAcentral
GACUCGCUUGAACCUGGGGAGGUGGAGUUGCAGUGAGCUGAGAUUGAGCCACUGCACUCUAGCCUGGCGACAGAGUGAGACUCGGUCUCAAAAAAGAAAAAAAAGGCGGGGCGGCGGGGGAUUAAAACACAAAUAAGAGUUUGCCACUAGCAAAAAAGGAAGAGAUAGGUCUUGUAAAGCCAUGUUGAAAUUGGAUGCUGGGUGAACGGCUAGGUUUCCUUACCAGCCAAGUGUCUUAGUCAGUUUGUGCUGCUAUAAAGGGUGAGGGUGAGUAAUUUAUAAAGGAAAGAGGUUUAUCUGGCUCACAUUCUGCAGGCUGUACAAGAAACAUGGUGCCAGCAUCUCCUGGUGAGAAAGUCAGAUUGCUUCUACUCAUGGUGGAGAGGGAAGGAAAGAAGUGCGGGCAGAAAUCACACGGCAGGGAAGAAACAAGAGAGAGGGAAGGAGGUGCCAGACUUUUUUCAACAACCACUUCUUGUCGCUCCUACAAGAAUCUCACCAAGUCAUUGAUGAGGGAUCCACCCCAUGACCCAAACACCCCCAAGCAUCCCCCACCACCAACACUGGAGAUCAAAUUUCAACAUGAGACUUGACAGAGCCAAACAGACCAUGUUUAAAGCAUAGCACCAAGAAAGCAGUUUAUUCUCACUUGCCUAGAGUAGGAGUGAUUCAAGUUAAAAAUGCAUUUGUGGCCCUGGAACACUUCAAGUGUAUUAAAUGCCAAGUGUAUGUGGUAAUUAACGUAAAAUAUAAUGUAAUGUAACUUACUUAUACUUAUUAAUUGACUUCUGUUUCUCCUCACUAUAAAUUGUCAGCAUGCAGUUUUACUUCAAAUAAUAAUCCUUCUAAGUAUACCCAAUAAAAAAUAAUACCCAGAUGACUCACAUGAAAACAAAAAUUUAUUCAAAUUACCUCAAAUUUUAGAAAAUAAACUAAGAUUGACAUAGUCACCCAUUGCUCUUGUAAUUAUGAGGUUGACACCAAAUACACAUUAAUCAAUCAAAUAAAGAGUCUCAAUAGUCCGAGAUUCACGUGACCAACUGAACCAACCUUGUACAAAAUCAUUCAUUUUUUUUCUUUUGCCAAACGUAACAUAUACACAAUCUAUUUUGCUAUCGUUUAAUUUUAUAAGAAGAAAGUAAGGUCCAAAUUAGAGGCUUCUUUUGGUUAAUUUUUCCACAAACAUGUCUUACAGUAAAGGGCAUUUUCCCUUUAUCUUUUAGCUAUAUUUCUCCAGAUGAUCAAAUUAGUUGUGAAAAAGUAUUGGUUGUUUGGAGUGAAAAUGAUGAGCACCGGAAACACAUUAUCCUAAAAGAGAGAAAUGUUUAAUAUUUACAUUUCAUAGCAAGAAAUAUUGUACCUGGCUAAAAUAAACUGAGAAGUAGUUUACCAAUAAUGGUCUAUUGUCAUACUAAUAAAAAAAUUAUGUUUUUUCUUUUAAAUCUAGUAAGUUCUAAAUUACACUUUAAUGCAACCUCUGGUAAGCUCUAAAACAGAUUUAUAGUCUGUAAUUAUUGUCUUUAUUUCCACUCCAGUACUUCUACAUCUUACCCCCAUGGGGCUAAAAAGAAUAUUGAAACUUAGCACUAUUUAACAUACCAAUUAAAAAGACACAUUAAAAAUUAUAAUUAUGGCCAGGCACGGUGGCUCACGCCUGUAAUCCCAGCACUUUGGGAGGCCGAGGCAGUGGAUCAUUUGAGGUUAGGAGUUCAAGACCAGCCUGGCCAACACGGUGAAACCCCGUCUCUACUAAACAUACAAAAAAUUAGCCAGGAGUGGUGACAGGCGCCUGUAAUCCCAGCUACUGGGGAGGCUGAAGCAGGAGAAUCACUUGAACCCGGGAGGUGGAGGUUGCAGUGAGCCGAUAUGGCACCACUGCACUCCAGCCUGGGCAACAAGACUGAAACUCCGCCUCAAAAAAAAAAAAAAAAAAAAAAAAAAAGAAUUACAGUG